This 509-nucleotide long non-coding RNA is filed under the name Phoenix dactylifera (date palm). RNAcentral describes it as "long non-coding RNA (PDAC_LNC022791)". Lineage: Eukaryota; Viridiplantae; Streptophyta; Magnoliopsida; Arecales; Arecaceae. The record is from RNAcentral.
GGAAAUACCAAAAAUACCCUUCAGUGGCAAGUUACCAUGCAAUUCAAUCCUUUAAUCAAACUGCAUCCCAAAUAUGUAUAUGAGUAUGAAUAUAUGUCAAACUCAAUUUCAUAUUCAUAUUUUUCUCAAUCUUUUAAUGAUAAUUCAAAUAAUGAAAUAUUAGAAACUCUUUCUAAUUUUCAUUCUGCUUUGAUCAAAGGCUUUCUGAUUUAUCAUAUGAUUAGAAUAAAUAGGAUGCUAUCUUCUCUUACUAGAAGUGAUUAAUUCCUUGUUGACCUACUCAUAAUCUUCGUACACAAUUCACCAUAUCCAGAAGACCUCGUACAUAACUUAUUGUCAUGAAUGAGUGUAAACCAAAAUAUGGGUUCAUGUGCACAAGAUACCAUGGUGAUCUCAGGUCAUAGGAUCAGUUGCACAACUCCCACUAAGAGAAUCAUCUUUUGACAUGUAAGUAAGACUUCAUAAGAUUUCUCUUUGUAGGUCAAUUCAGUGAACUCAUACCUCUAAUG